Molecule: ribosomal RNA, 383 nt
Filed under: marine Metazoa environmental sample
Lineage: Eukaryota; Metazoa
Description: SSU rRNA
Rfam family: Eukaryotic small subunit ribosomal RNA
Source: RNAcentral
AGCUCCAAUAGCGUAUAUUAAAGUUGUUGCAGUUAAAAAGCUCGUAGUUGGAUCUCGGGUUUAGGCCGGCGGUUCACCUCGUCGGUGACGACUGCCUGUCCUGACCUACCUGCCGGUCUUCCCCUGGUGCUCUUGACUGAGUGUCUGGGGCGGCCGGGACGUUUACUUUGAAAAAAUUAGAGUGUUCAAGGCAGGCGUUUUUGCCUGAAUAAUAGUGCAUGGAAUAAUGGAAGAGGACCUCGGUUCUAUUUUGUUGGUUUUCGGAACUUGAGGUAAUGAUUAAGAGGGACUGACGGGGGCAUUCGUAUUACGGUGUUAGAGGUGAAAUUCUUGGAUCGUCGUAAGACGAACUACUGCGAAAGCAUUUGCCAAGAAUGUUUUCA